UGGUGACAUGAGGACAGGUGUUGAUGU
RNAcentral lists this non-coding RNA (27 nucleotides) under Mus musculus (house mouse). Lineage: Eukaryota; Metazoa; Chordata; Mammalia; Rodentia; Muridae. The record is from RNAcentral.